GCCUUCGUGGUGUAGUGGUCACACACUCAGCGCGUAUUUGAGAAGUCCGUGGUUCGAAUCCCGGCGAGGGCA
RNAcentral lists this transfer RNA (72 nucleotides) under Stegodyphus mimosarum. It matches the Rfam family "tRNA". Rfam says of the family: Transfer RNA (tRNA) molecules are approximately 80 nucleotides in length. The record is from Rfam by way of RNAcentral. Lineage: Eukaryota; Metazoa; Arthropoda; Arachnida; Araneae; Eresidae.